ACUCGAAAAUGGAGCACUUGACAAGAUUGUUUAGUUUGGUCGCUUAACGGAAGUAUGAUGGUGUCCAGCCACGCAAAAUGACUGUUCCAUCUGCCUUUUCAGUGUAUUUGUGUGGCGAUGUCUAUAAUGCUGGAAACCUCGUCGUUUUUUGCUGAUGCUGCCACCACCCAGCAACGCAGAGGCAGUGACGGGGCACCUCCUCACCACCCGCCAUGGGCAACACACUGAAGGGGUAUGAGUGCCCCCACUCUGCGAUCUCCAAAACUGUGAUGCCAAGAAGGAAGAGUUUUAUAUCCAUUAAGUGCCUUUGAAAGUUUCCAGUUGUGUGGGCUGCUGUCUCACCUCCCACAAAUUAUCUCCUUUCUGCAUAUGGUGCUAAAACUGCAAAACUGAGGAGGGCUACAGGACCCUCAGCAGAUUCCUGGUCUGUCACCUAUGUCAUGUGUUCAUGUCAAGGCUUCCUAAAUGAAAGACAUCAGUUACCUACUUAGGAAAUAGUGGUUAUAGGAAGGUGAGCAGCAAAGAAAUGUCAAUUCAGGAGGGAGGGUAUAGGAUGGGUUUUCAUUGUAUUCAGUGCCAAACUCACAAAAUCCAAAAAAUAAAAUUCAAAUAAACCUCUACUGCUACAAAGUAGAAACAAAAAAUAAAAAUUCAAGUGGGUUCAAAUAGGCUGAUUUAUCUUGUUCUAAAAUGGUAAUCAGUGAGGUGAGAAGAGGCUGUAACUGAGUUUACCACUCCCAGAAUGGGGUUGACUUGACCCACUGAUUUGCUUCAGGUGAAAUAUAUAGGUGAAGCCUGGAUUUAAAUGUCUCUGCAAUAUAAAUUUCUAAGCCCAAGCAGUAUUUGGUAAAUCAAGCUCAAACAAAAUAUCUAGCUUAGAGUCCCUUGGAGUUGGUUGGAUGACAGAAUAUGACUUGGAAAAUAUUAACGGGAAGACAUCCCUAACCCACCUCAGUCAUACUUCACACUUGGCCUCCCACUGGCUGCAGGAGGGGCUGACGGCACACACUGCAAGGAACGCCCGUGAGGGACUGGUUACUCUGGGCAUGUACAUACCAAUUAGUCCUUCCGGUCAGUAAACUAGAAUUCUGGAUCUUGAGUUACUGGCUAUUUGCAGUUGUCAGUUUAGAGAAAAGGUGAAAUGCAGUUUCAUCUAAAUAGAUUAACAUUUACCACAGAAGUGCUUCAGCAUUCUAAAUGGAUUAAAUCACUCACUGAACUAUUUUUAUAUGCCAAAUUAUUAAUGCCUUACAUCAAUCCACUGAUAGGUUGAGCCCCCAGUUAGAGUCCCUACUCAGUCCUGAUUGUUUUCCGUAUCAUGUGACUGGUGAUGCUGAGUGAUAACCAUGUCUGCCUCUACUAUACCACAGACCUUUCAUAAUUGGAUCUUGCAUUGAAAUAACCACGUGGAAGAACAAAUUGAUCAAUGAUAUGUACAAUUAUAUUUAAAGAGCAAUAGUCUGUGUCCAGAAAACUUCUUAAAUCUUAUUUGUAAACAUUUAUAUGGUAUGAUUUUAUGUUCAUAAAUCUUACACUGUAUUCUACUAUGUUAAAAUAGUCUACUAUGUUAAAAUAUUGGUGCAUGAAUUUAUUUUCAAAGAAUAUAUAAUUUAAAAACAUUUUGGUAUGUGUCAAAUAAAUUUGAUUAUGUAAGGAUAGCUGCACUGUGAGCUGAAAGCCUUUCUGUAAGUAAGUGACCACUCACUGGUUGAAGCAAAGUCUACCGUUUGUGUAUCCAUCUGCAGCAGUUUGAUGAAACCAAAAUACCAAACAUAUUUUAAGUCUAUAAGCUUUAUUGAUACUUUGCUUUUACAGUUCACAAUGCAUUCCACACAUUUAGUUCAGUACAACUUAAACCACAAUUGUAUAAAUCAGAUAAUCUUACAUAACAAUGUUUGAUAUUU
Molecule: non-coding RNA, 1904 nt
Organism: Manis javanica (Malayan pangolin)
Lineage: Eukaryota; Metazoa; Chordata; Mammalia; Pholidota; Manidae
Source: RefSeq, a predicted model, not a curated record